RNAcentral lists this ribosomal RNA (312 nucleotides) under uncultured eukaryote. Its description in RNAcentral is "partial 18S ribosomal RNA". It matches the Rfam family "Eukaryotic small subunit ribosomal RNA", at positions 1470 to 1796 of the family's 1831-position model. The record is from RNAcentral.
CCCUUAGAUGUCCUGGGCCGCACGCGUGCUGCACUGAUGCAUACAGCGAGCACUUCCCGGCCCCGAAAGGCGGCUGGUAAUCAGCAAUAUGCAUCGUGAUGGGGAUAGUUCUUUGGAAUUCUUGAACUUGAACGAGGAAUGCCUAGUAGGCGCAAGUCAUUACCUUGCGUCGAUUAAGUCCCUGCCCUUUGUACACACCGCCCGUCGCUCCUACCGAUUCGAGUGAUCCGGUGAACCCUUUGGACCGAGGCAGCUUGCUGUUUUGGAAAAUCGAGUAAACCACGUCACUUAGAGGAAGGAGAAGUCGUAACA